UCUCCAGACAUUUCCCUAGUGCCUGAUUUCUCUGUAAACCGAGACUCUUCUAUGUUACCAAUUUCAGUUGCCAGGACAGUGUCCUCCUGCCUGUGCACCUUCUGGAACACAGCCUGCAUGUUUUGACCACAAGGAAACGAUUCCCAGAAGAUCCAGCCUCAGUGAUGCUGGUCUCUCUCUUCUUGAUCACCAUUAGUUUCUCAGAUCAGCUAACUAGUAUUGAUUGUCCCAGCAAAUAAACGGUUUCACUGAUGGAUGUUUACUUAGGGGUGGCUGGUGGUUAAGAGCAAAUAGAUCACUUAUGAGAGGAAAUACAGGGAUGGAAGCUAAAUAUUUUAAUGGAAACAUUGUGGGAAAUAGGAGAUUGAGUUGGUAUAGCAUAUUGGCCAGAUUCUUGCUAGGAAGCUGAAAUGACUGAAGUAAACUAAAAAAAAAAAAGUAUUUAUUAAAAAAACAAUGGACAUUGGAACUGGUAAGAUGGCUGAGCAGGUAAAGGCAUUUGCCACCAAGGCUUAUAACCUGAGUGUAAUCCCUGGGAUCCACAAGAUAGAAGAAGAGAAGUGAUCUGAAUUUCACACAUACUGUGGUAAAGAAAGCAUGCCCACACACAUACACACCCAAAUAAACUAAAUUGAAAUACAAAAAUAAAUGAAGCAAAAAACCCCACAUGGAUUGUGAAAAAAAAUGAGCACCUGUGGACCAGCAAUUGAAGGUGGGUACUUGCUACCUCUUACUCUGAAGGAGAGAAGGGAGAGGGAACACACAGAGAUACCUAUGAGUAAUAAGGCAGUAAAUGGUGCAGCCAAUUUGUAGUAACCCUGUGCAGGAUGCUGGCAAAAUAAAAAAUCUCUAGGGUUUUGCUGGUGCCUCCUAAUGGCCAAACUCAACUAGAUGACAGGAAUAAGGGAGCUUGUGUGCUGGUAAUUCAUAAAAGUGUCACAAGUCUGCUUUAUGAUUUAGAUGCUUCUGUCAUCCAGGACUGGGAUUAUGUAAAAGUGAUGGGGAGACAGACAGAUAUUCAGAAAGAAUGCACACAUGAAAGAGGACAGACAGGUAGAAGGAAGUGAGCACAAAAUGAUUCUCAGAAUAGUUUUCUAGGUAUACUUCAGCCCCUUUUAGAGACAAGAACACCAAGACCCAAAGCAUGGCAUGGCUUUCUUGAGGCAGCAGACUUGGGGGUAAAGUCAGGAAACAGGGCUAGCUAGCUGAAAGCCUUUUCCACCCCACUGCUCCACAUAUAAUGGCUAGUUGAAUCGCAGAAUGCCCAUUUAAGCUUGUAGAGGAAGUUGAAACACUACCAGAAAGUUCUUACUUCACUAUGUAAAUAAUUCAUGCACACUGAGAAGCCGGGACUCAAAGGAUGUCCCUGAGCACUUGCAGUAUUGAUGUUCACUGGACUGAACAGGCUGUGAGGAAGGUGAAGGCUGUGGUUUCAGAAAACCCAGUCACGCUCUGCUAUGCCUCCCCCCCCCCAGUAUGUUUACUCUGACCCCAAGGCAGUACCUGGCUAGCUAACACUGUCCUCAGUCCUAUUGGUUUGGGCAGAAAGGGCAGAAGAGGUAAGGCGGGGCCUCAUUCUUAGCAGAACCUGUGUGUCUUCCCACAUGCGUAGCAUAUGGUGAGUGCUUUGACAAUGACCACUGAACAGAGUCUUUGGGGACUGUUUCCUUUGUCAAAUGUCAUGGAUUCCAACCACACAAAACCACAAAGUUGAGAAUGCAAAGGGUGAAUGGGAAGGACUAAUGAUAGCUAGGCAGGCAUCCCCGGGUGGGAUCCAGGGACCCAACAUCUCUAGAUCCAUAUGAAGCACCCUCACAGAAUUUUCCCAGUACCUAAUACAUGGUGCAGACAAUUAGAUGAGACCAUGCUUCAAAGCUGUCGGUACUCGGUCAUGCAGAGCAAAGGCCGAUUCUACUUCUUCCCUGCCCCUGUGGUCCUACUCCUUUGAUUUAAAUGUCGCUUUCAUGUCCCAAAGUUACAACUCUUGACAUCAGAUUCCGGUCACAUAAAAUGGUAGUGGCUUUCCUACAGCAAAUCACAAUUGUUAUAAAUUCUGUUGUUACUGUUUUGGUCACAUUGGGCUUAUGUGACCGGCGGUUGCCCUUCUGAGAACACCACAGCAUUGUGGAUUAUGACUUUCCCCAUCUUUGAAUAAACACUGAGAGCUUUCUUUACCUCUUGGUCCAGUGCUUGUUUGCCAUCUGGUGCCUGGGUUCGGCUACAUCUGCAUUUACUUAAGGACUUUAGGCGAAGGCUGGGUUUACAUAUGGGAAGAAGGAGAGAGCUUCGUUGAUGUCUUCCAUCUGUUCAUUUAUUCACAUAUUAUGAUUUCUGUAAUCUCACCAAUGUUGAUCCCUUCAGACAAUCCUUACACUGUUCCUUGGGGACCAUCAUUUUUGUGUGUUCAGCUGGGAGUUUCCCUGAGAAUAUUUUUUUUUAAAUGCCAUUACUUUUAGUGUAACUCAGCAUGGCUUCUAGAUGAGAACAAAAUUAAUGUUCUCAAAGAGGUGGCUUUUUUUUUCUUUCCCUUACAGGGGGAUUUAUCUGCUUUGAAUGAAUCUGUGGAAAGAAGCAGGAAACCCCAGAGCUGGUUCCUCUCCUCACUUGUAAAUGCUUUGAAUUAGGUUCAUGACCCACUGUGAAGAACACUGAAGAUUUGAUAAGGAAGCCGCUUGCACAGAGCUGCCUCCCUCAUCCUACAGGAUCAUGAGAGUGAACAAGAGUGACAGUUUCAGCUUCUCCUCAUCCAGUUCAGAGGACAACAUUGAAAAUAAUAUCAAGAGGAGUCAUGCUUCAAAAUCUCUCAUAGAGUAGCAAAGCUUAUGUCAACUAGUCAUGUGAGUCUAACCCAAUUAUUCAGGGAGAGGUGAAUCUGUCCUUUUUGGUGCUAUAUGACCUGGCACUCACACCUGAGAUGUGAUUUUUCUUCCUCUUUCUUUUUAAAGCAGCAGACAGCCAGCAAGUUUAAAUGCCACCUCUGGAUACUCAACACAGUUAUCUUAGCUUCACAAGUUUCCAUUAAGGCAUCUCUCAGUUUCUUGAGGUGGGAAUAGGAACACAAAAAUCGUAUGUCACAGAGGAAAGACACCAGGCCAUGGGAAAAUACUAAGCCCUUACACACAGAAUCUGAGGUUUUUGGGAACCAUUUAAGCCCUUUUCUGGGAGUGGUAGAGUGCAUGCUGGCUCUGGACAGGAUAUUCAGGGAGAACACAGCUGAUUUACAAGGCCGGAGUGGGAGACAUGGAGAGAAGCCUGCAGGAUGUAACUGAAUGGUGGAGAAAUCCAGACUAAACUCAGGGAGCCUAAGCUCCAGGAGAGAAAGCCUAGAGAAGUGAAGGGAAUAAACAAAGGCGGUGGGGCUAAGCUGGAGUGAUUGCCAGGUGGGAGGGCAGGAUACAUCUGGGCACCUUGGACUACAUGAGGAAUUUAGUACUUUCCAUAGAUUCCACAGUAGACACCGAAUGAAAAUGUUUUAGGACACAGACCUUACACUGUCCCAUGGCUUCUCCACUUUAGCAGGGUGAAUACUGGCGUCUAGGUAGGAGUGAGUGACAGUGGUUUGUCUAUGAGUUGGCUACCCGUUAUGCCUUCCUCUCCUGCUGUCCUCUUUUCCAUUAGCUAUUUCAUCCCCUUCUCUUUUGGCAGAAGGCAGAGGAUGCGAUGAUGCAGGUUGCAGCCUGCUCAGAGGGCUCCACCAUGGACACAUUUUGUAUCCUUCUUCAAGGCACCCUCCCUGUUCUCCCCACUGGGCACCAGACUACUCUGCUGCCUGCCUGCUGAGAGGCAACAGCUGUUGGCACGGAGAGCAACUCCCAGCUGCUCACCCAAAUUCUCUCAAGCCUUGCUGAGUGUCAAUGCUUUUAAUUUGUUAAAAUUGGAUGGGGGCUGACGAACAGAGGAGCAAAGAGAGGCCUAAUUUUAGCUGUAGACAAGAGGACUUUCCCCUAAAUACACCAAUCUCAAAAUACUUAGCUAAGUGCAUAUGAACACACGGGGAGGAUUUAAAGAGCCACAGAGUAAAAUUUAAAGGCCAACUGGUCCCGGCCCCGCCUGCCUGAACAACUGGACUAAAGAGCAGUGAGAACAGUCUGCACCCUCAUUCUGGACCAGGCACUGUGCCAGAUGUUUGUGUGCAGCCCUUCCUUCUCACAGGAGGAUGGUUUGGGGCCCAUCAUUGCCCUCUACAGAUGGGGAAACAGGCUCCAGAAAUUUAAACCCAGGUCGCUCUUACUUUCCCUGUCAAAUGAAAGGAAAAUGGGGCAUCGAGCUUUGGCUAUCUGAAGAAGUGAUAUUUGAGGCAUGGAAUCAGAGCACAGAUCAGAGGGCUUUGGUUUUUAUAUCCUCAGAAUGGACUCUCUUUGUCCAUGGUUGCCCUUUUUCCAAACUAAAACCCCUCCCAAGAACUCCAAGAUAUUCUGAAGGAAUGAAGAGACUGUCACAAGCAAUUUGCAGGUAGAUAAGUGCUUGGGGGAAUGCCUUUCUGUCCCCCUCCAGCAAAAACCAUUGCUGUCUGUAACCAAAGAGGAGGGCUGUUUGGCUCAGGUAUCUGAACUGGGUAACUUCUCUUGAUCUCUCCUUCAUGCUAGAGUCUGCACUCCCUCAGAAUAAAGCCCACCUGGUAGGACUCAUCACAUCAACUCCCUUCAUCUCAGCUCAGGCCUACAAAGCCUCUUUACUGGGACGCUCCCCCAUGAGGCUUACCAUGCACAUCUGGAAGCUUUCCACAAUGGGCCUUUGAAGCUGCCUGCAGCAUUCCGGGAAAGCCUGGCUCACUAGGCUGAGGUUGCAAGAGCAGAAGCCCACAUUUAUUUUUCUUUUCCGCCUUCUUUGAGGAAACUCAAUCCCCUAGUGGCUUUGUGGGCAUUUGCAAGGCAGCUCUGAUUUUCAUCCUACUACUGACAAGGCUAAAGUCUACACGAGCAGUGAACAAUGGCAGCACACUCAAAGGGGGGCUUGGAAUAAUGGAGGAGGUCCACAGUGUGCUCGGCUCCUUAGACCCCAUUGAGUCCUGCCUGACUCAUCUUGACUUACCCCAUUGCUCAGCACCAGUGACAUUUUGCCCACUCAAAGUAUCUAAGGCGGGGUUUUCUGAUGUGAAAUGAAUUAACAGUGAUAUGCCUCUCAGAGAACAAUGUUACAGGAGGUAGCUGAAGUAAGCCACUUUCUGCAUUGUAAGACACGUUGUUCAACAGAUCUGUGAGGUCCCUUCUCUGGGUCAUUCUCCUUCACAUAAGCCAAGCUCAUUCUAUACAAUUUAACUCACAUAGAUUCCUUUCUGAAAUACUUUACCCCUCUGUCAGUCAUGUUAGUUGUCAUGUCCUUAACAUUUAUUUCUGAGUUUUUUGGGUUUAUUUUUAUUUUUAUUUUUUUUUGUUUUUCGAGACAGGGUUUCUCUGUGUAGCUUUGGAGCCUAUCUUGGCACUCGCUCUGGAGACCAGGCUGGCCUCAAACUCAGAGAGAUUCACCUGCCUCUGCCUCCGGAGUGCUGGGAUUAAAGGCGUGCACCACCAAUGCCCGGCUCUUUAUUUCUGUUUUUAAGAUUACAUAUAGCUUACAAGACCCUGUAGUAACUGUAGACAUGUUUCUGUUUUGAUUGAAUCUUCACACCUAGUUAACAGUGUUCUCAAUGAAUGCCUGCACACUCAUUAGCCCAUAUAAUCAAUAUUACUUAGCACCUACUCUGUGUCAUACAGCCAUGACUAUAACAGACCUAGGACCUACUUCCAGAAGUUUACUUUGUAGCAGGGAAAAUCUAGAAAUCCAUUAGGAAAUGCAUAUAUUGAAAUAUGGUGUCGUCAGGACAACAGUAAAGAAAUAAAGUAAGAGACUGCUAGUUGUAGCUCCAACACAUGAAAUACAGACAAGAGAAGAAGCCAACAAAGUACCAAACACAGACUUUACUUGAGUUAGGAAGAAAACUGAGGUUAAAGGCAAACUCUCAUCCUAAAAUCUGGAGACAGAAGAAUCCAGUUACAGCUAGAUCUUGCCAGGACAAGAAGCUACUGGAACCAUGGAUGAGCAGAGACAUUUCAGUGACAGCUGAAGAGAAGAAAUGAAGAAGGGUUCAGUGUGGCCAGGAAGGCAUGGGACUGUAAUUUUGGCCACUAUUGAAGCUGUGCAAAAGGACUGCUUCAGCCAAGAAGUCUGAUUGAGACCCAGUGGGCAACAUAACCUUACUAUCCCAAAUAAAUAAUAGAUGGAUGGAUAGAUUGAUAGAUAGAUAGAUAGAUAGAUAGAUAGAUAGAUAGAUACAAGUUUGAGUUAAUUAGGAAUAAAAAUUCUGGGUUUGGUGGCACAUACUUGUAAUCCCUAUACUCUAUAGAUCAGGGUAAAAAGAUUGUAAUUUUGAGGCCAGCUUGGGGGAAAUAGGAAGAUCCUGCCUCAUAAAACAUGGCGGGAUAAUGAAUACAGCAAAUAUAAGAGUUACUACAUGGUACAUAUUCAUCCAUCUGUACCAGUAAUCUAUUUAAAUGUUAAUGGCAUGAAUAUAUUAGUUAAGAGAUUCCCACAGUCAAUUAGGGAACAAGCAAGGCCUAUUGGAGAUAUGCUGUAAAUAUAAAGACUUACAGAUAUUGCAUGCCACUCAAAGCAGAGCUGCAGUAGUGUGGGAGCCAGUGUAAGAAAGCAUUGAACUAUAAAUGAAGCAGAGUGCACCAUGUUCUUCCCACAAGGUGGGAAUUGCAUAAACUGUGACAACUGAAUGAACUUGAAAACAAGGACAUGAAGGAAAUACCCUAGCAUGCCCACAGUAUAUCUGUGGGAAAGGCAAAGGCCUGGGAGGAAUAUUCCUGGCUCUUUUCAUAUGGCCAAAGGUGGUAAAACAUAACACCAGGUGUAAUCCCUCACUGUACUUAUAUUUACUUAAACUACAUACAAACCAUCUUCUCAUGUUUUGCUUGCUUUGAUAAUAAAAAUGAGAAGGGCUUUGUUUGCA
Molecule: non-coding RNA, 6934 nt
Organism: Cricetulus griseus (Chinese hamster)
Lineage: Eukaryota; Metazoa; Chordata; Mammalia; Rodentia; Cricetidae
Source: RefSeq, a predicted model, not a curated record